Molecule: ribosomal RNA, 464 nt
Filed under: uncultured bacterium
Lineage: Bacteria
Description: partial 16S ribosomal RNA
Rfam family: Bacterial small subunit ribosomal RNA
Source: RNAcentral
ACGAACGCUGGCGGCGUGCUUAACACAUGCAAGUCGAACGGUAAGGCUCCAGCUUGCUGGGGUACACGAGUGGCGAACGGGUGAGUAACACGUGGGUGACCUGCCCUGCACUUCGGGAUAAGCCUGGGAAACUGGGUCUAAUACCGGAUAGGACUGCACCGUGAGGGUGUGGUGGAAAGUUUUUUCGGUGUGGGAUGGGCCCGCGGCCUAUCAGCUUGUUGGUGGGGUAAUGGCCUACCAAGGCGGCGACGGGUAGCCGGCCUGAGAGGGUGGACGGCCACAUUGGGACUGAGACACGGCCCAGACUCCUACGGGAGGCAGCAGUGGGGAAUAUUGCACAAUGGGCGGAAGCCUGAUGCAGCGACGCCGCGUGGGGGAUGACGGCCUUCGGGUUGUAAACUCCUUUCACCAUCGACGAAGGGUUUCUGACGGUAGAUGGAGAAGAGGCACCGGCUAACUACGUG